Molecule: small RNA, 2849 nt
Filed under: Pongo abelii (Sumatran orangutan)
Lineage: Eukaryota; Metazoa; Chordata; Mammalia; Primates; Hominidae
Description: retained intron
Source: RNAcentral
GUGUCUUUAAAGGAUUGCCAUUUAAUGCCAUUCAAGAUCUACUAAGCAUCAUUUUUGCAUGACUACUGCAAAAGGAUUACUUUACAGAUACCAGUUCCUUUGUCAAGAGCAUACUUUGGACCCUGUUUUCAGAAAGCAGGGCACUCUUUAAUGAAGAAACAACAGAGCUGUUAAACACAUUGAGACACAGAAGAUUCUAGUGACCGAGGAUGGCUUCCUCUUGGAAACUAAUGCUGUUUCUGUCAGUCACCAUGUGUCUUUCAGAAUAUUCAAAAGCUCUUCCUGGUCUCUCCACUUCAUAUGCUGCUUUGUUAAGAAUUAAGAAGAGUUCAUCUUCAUCUCUCUUUGGUUCCAAAACCAUACCACGAUACAGCAGCUCUUCAUUAGGAACACUGAGUGCUUCUUCACCCAGCUGGCGAGGGGCAGCUCAGAAUUAUUAUUCCCCCAUCAAUCUUUAUCAUUCCUCAGAUGCCUUCAAACAAGAUGAAAGUGUGGACUAUGGGCCAGUUUUUGUGCAAGAACCAGAUGAUAUUAUUUUUCCAACUGAUUCUGAUGAAAAGAAGGUAGCAUUGAAUUGUGAAGUUCGUGGCAAUCCAGAUCCCAGUUACAGAUGGCUUCGAAAUGGAACAGAAAUAGAUCUGGAAAGUGAUUAUCGCUACAGUUUGAUAGAUGGCACUUUCAUUAUAAGCAAUCCAAGUGAAGCAAAGGAUUCUGGUCAUUAUCAGUGUCUAGCAACCAACACUUUGGGGAGUAUUCUUAGUAGAGAAGCUACACUUCAGUUUGCCUAUCUGGGAAAUUUUAGUGGCCGGACAAGAAGUGCAGUCUCUGUGAGGGAAGGCCAGGGUGUCGUUCUGAUGUGCUCUCCUCCACCACAUUCACCAGAGAUCAUCUAUAGCUGGGUAUUUAAUGAGUUCCCUUCCUUUGUGGCGGAAGACAGCCGGCGGUUCAUUUCCCAGGAGACAGGCAACCUUUAUAUUUCUAAAGUCCAAACAUCAGAUGUUGGCAGCUAUAUUUGUCUGGUGAAAAACACAGUGACGAAUGCUAGAGUCCUUAGUCCUCCAACGCCACUCACUCUGCGUAAUGAUGGUGUGAUGGGAGAAUAUGAGCCGAAAAUUGAGGUCCAUUUUCCUUUCACGGUUACAGCUGCUAAAGGAACAACUGUUAAGAUGGAAUGCUUUGCACUUGGCAACCCCGUUCCAACAAUCACAUGGAUGAAGGUUAAUGGUUAUAUUCCUAGUAAGGCACGUCUGCGGAAAUCUCAGGCAGUGCUGGAAAUACCGAAUGUACAGCUGGAUGAUGCAGGCAUUUAUGAGUGCAGAGCUGAAAACUCACGUGGAAAAAAUUCCUUUCGUGGACAAUUACAAGUAUACACCUACCCACACUGGGUAGAAAAACUGAAUGAUACUCAGUUAGACAGUGGGAGCCCUCUCCGUUGGGAAUGUAAAGCUACUGGAAAACCCAGACCCACGUAUCGUUGGCUGAAGAAUGGAGUACCCCUCUCACCUCAGAGUAGGGUUGAGAUGGUUAAUGGAGUAUUGAUGAUCCACAAUGUGAAUCAAUCAGAUGCUGGAAUGUAUCAGUGUUUGGCUGAAAAUAAGUAUGGAGCCAUUUACGCUAGUGCUGAGCUGAAGAUUCUAGCUUCAGCUCCCACUUUUGCACUGAAUCAACUGAAGAAAACAAUAAUUGUUACCAAAGACCGAGAAGUUGUCAUAGAGUGCAAACCCCAAGGCUCUCCAAAACCAACCAUCUCUUGGAAGAAAGGAGACAGAGCAGUUAGAGAAAACAAAAGAAUAGCUAUUCUUCCAGACGGGAGUCUACGGAUCCUAAAUGCUUCCAAAUCAGAUGAGGGAAAAUACGUUUGCCGAGGGGAAAACGUCUUUGGUUCUGCUGAAAUUAUAGCUUCGCUAUCUGUAAAAGAACCUACAAGGAUAGAACUUACUCCUAAAAGAACAGAAUUGACAGUGGGAGAAAGCAUUGUCCUUAACUGCAAAGCAAUUCAUGAUGCUAGUUUGGAUGUCACUUUCUACUGGACUCUGAAAGGACAGCCUAUUGAUUUCGAGGAAGAGGGUGGACAUUUUGAAAGCAUCAGGGCCCAAGCAUCAUCUGCAGAUUUAAUGAUCAGGAACAUCCUUCUGAUGCAUGCUGGGAGAUAUGGCUGCAGGGUACAGACCACAGCAGACAGUGUGUCAGAUGAGGCAGAACUUCUUGUUAGGGGUGAGUAUGCUAAUAGUGCAGUCUGAAGACAUGAUCACCAUAAAUUAUCAUACAAAGGAAUGUAAAUGCAUGGACUUUGAGCACAUCAGUACUGUGCAUUUUACUUUCAAUUUUACGAUAUAUGUUAUUUUUGCUUAACCUAUUGCCUUUGAAAAAAUUACAUGGAAAACUGCUCCUUAGUAACAGACGAAAACCACCGAACUAACUUCAGAGUCCAAAACACCUUUAGUAGUAAGUUCUCACGAAGUGUUUAACCUAAUGCCAAGGAAAUAAUCUAAACAGUUGAGCUACUAAGUCACUUGGACUACAGAGAUGAAAUUUGUUUGUGUGUAUAUAUGUUUUUCAAAUGAAAAGCUAGUGGAACCCCCAGGCAUUUUUUUCUUCCCCUACUUCUAAGUUGGGAUUCCAAAAACAGAAAAACUGCAUGUGUAAGAUGGUGGCAUUUGCAAUUGUUAAGUGACAAGGAUUUUUUUAAAGUCUGAAAAUGUCAACAUACAACCUCUCUGUGAAGAAAUGACAGUUAAAUGGUUUCCAAUUAUGAAACAGUACACCAAAUUCUGCAAUCCUAGGAAGCUACAUCUUAAGCAAAUGACUAGAGCACCCAUUUCCUUUAGCACAGUAUUCCACAGUAUGGG